Long non-coding RNA from Mustela lutreola (European mink), 893 nucleotides. RefSeq lists it as uncharacterized. NCBI's taxonomy places the organism in Eukaryota, Metazoa, Chordata, Mammalia, Carnivora, Mustelidae. The transcript is spliced from 3 exons. The record is from RefSeq and is a predicted model, not a curated record.
UUUCAGGAGCUUUUGUUCCCUGAGCGCUUUUCGUAGAGUUCCAGAGGACGGGAAUACAAAUAGCAGCCUCCUGGUCUCUGGCCCAGAAGAGCCGAGAGCCCGGGGCCCCACUCCUCAGUGCGCCCUCAGAGAACAGCGCCCAGUAACUCCUGUCUGCCUGACCUUUGGCCGCGCUCCGAGCUCACCGAGCCUGCAACCGGUUCAAGGUUGAAAACUGGAAUUUGCUCUGCCACUUGCCUCCCACAUCCAUUUAUUUCAUGUAUAGCUGUGAAAGGACAAUGGAAAAGUUGCCGAGACAAUGAAGAAUUAUGGCAGACUGCAGAGAGGGAGGAAGCUCUGGAGUGAGAAAAUUCCUCAGCCACUCCUAUUCUGGGACAUUUGCUGAUUCUGGGGCACAGCGAAUAGAGAAAAUACAAGGAUGUUAGCUGAAAAACCUAAAAGGCCAGGGAUGAACCAGAGGUGGACUGAACUGCUACACAGAAAUGAUAACAGUGGGAUUUUUAUAAGAGCCAUAUUGUACUUAAAUUUUGAUUAUGGGGAAUUGAAUGUUUACAACAUUUAACUCUUUAAAUUCUUAUAUCUUUUGACACAACCUUAAAAUUCUUCCACAUAUAUAAGAUUUUUUAGUUUAUUUCUACAUAUUUUCUAGUGUUUACUGCUUACAAUUACAAAUGCCUUUUUUUUUCCAAAGAUUUUUUUUUUUUUAAUUUAUUUACUUGACAGAAAAGAGAUCACAAGGAGGCAGAAAUGCAGGCAGAGAGAGGAGGGGAAGCAGGCUCCCUACAAAGCAGAGAGACCAAUGCAGGGCUCAAUCCCAAGACCCUGAGAUCAUGACCCAAGCCAAAGGUAGGAGCCCAACCCAUCGAGUCACCCAGGUGCCCCACAAAUGACUU